RNAcentral lists this ribosomal RNA (869 nucleotides) under uncultured archaeon. RNAcentral describes it as "bacterial SSU rRNA". It matches the Rfam family "Archaeal small subunit ribosomal RNA", at positions 1 to 879 of the family's 1478-position model. The record is from RNAcentral.
UUCCGGUUGAUCCCGCCGGAGGCCAUUGCUAUCAGGGUUUGACUAAGCCAUGCGAGUCGAGAGGUGUAAGACCUCGGCAUACUGCUCAGUAACACGUGGUUAACCUGCCCUAAGGUGGAGGAUACUCCCGGGAAACUGGGGCUAAUACUCCAUAGUGGAUAUCUCCUGGAAUGGUAUAUCCUCGAAAGAUCCGUCGCCUUAGGAUGGGACUGCGUCCGAUUAGGUUGUUGGCGGGGUAACGGCCCACCAAGCCAUUGAUCGGUACGGGUUGUGGGAGCAAGAUCCCGGAGAUGGAUUCUGAGACAUGAAUCCAGGCCCUACGGGGCGCAGCAGGCGCGCAAACUUUACAAUGCGAGCAAUCGUGAUAAGGAAACCCUGAGUGCCUGUCGAUGCAGGCUGUUCAUAUAUCUAAAUCAUAUGUGAAGAAAGGGCAGGGCAAGACCGGUGCCAGCCGCCGCGGUAAUACCGGCUGCUCGAGUGAUGGCCACUAUUACUGGGUUUAAAGCGUCCGUAGCUUGACUGUUAGGUCCCUUGGGAAAUCUUCACGCUUAACGUGAAGGCGUCUAAGAGAUACCGGCAGUCUUGGAACUGGGAGAGGUAAACCGUACUUCGGGGGUAGGAGUGAAAUCUUGUAAUCCUCGAGGGACGACCUAUGGCGAAGGCAGUUUACCAGAACAGCUUCGACAGUGAGGGACGAAAGCUGGGGGAGCAAACGGGAUUAGAUACCCCGGUAGUCCCAGCCGUAAACAAUGUGCGUUAGGUGUGUCGGUAACCACGUGUUACUGAUGCGCCGAAGAGAAAUCGUGAAACGCACCACCUGGGAAGUACGGUCGCAAGGCUGAAACUUAAAGGAAUUGGCGGGGGAGCAC